Molecule: long non-coding RNA, 383 nt
Filed under: Mytilus galloprovincialis (Mediterranean mussel)
Lineage: Eukaryota; Metazoa; Mollusca; Bivalvia; Mytilida; Mytilidae
Source: RNAcentral
CUGUAGUGUUCAUAAUAUAAAAGUAACUAAUAAAAAUGGAAAUUACUGACAGUAUAACUGAACAAAUCUAUUGGCUAAAAAUAGAUGGCGUUGAGAAUUAAUUAGGAUAUUUUCGUUCAAAUUGACAAGUCAGGUGAAUAACCUCGACAAAUUCCCGGUGAAUAAACCUAUAACAAAAAUGUAUCUAUCGUCGGUGAAACCCCUGUUAAUUUUCCUCCAGCCAAAUUGUUGUCAAUAUUUCAAGUGAUCGGCAUAAUAAAAUAGUUACGACCCUGUGAGUCGGGAGAUAUUCGAAAAUAGUAUUCAUGUACUAUUUCUACAGUCAUAACUUUUUAUUUUGUAUAUCAUGCACCAAAUUUGAAAAUAAUUAUAUUCAUAUGCUC